UUCCGGUUGAUCCUGCCGAAGGCUACUGCUAUUGGAGUUCGAUUAAGCCAUGCGAGUCUAAGGGAUCUUCGGAUCCCUGGCGUAAUGCUCAGUAACACGUGGAUAAUCUACCCUCAGGUGGGGCAUAAACCCGGGAAACUGGGGCCAAUUCCCCAUAAAUACAGAUGGCUGGAAUGCUUCUGUAUUCAAAGCUCCGGCGCCUGAGGAUGAGUCUGCGGCCUAUCAGGUUGUAGUCAGGGUCAUGACCUGACUAGCCAGCGACGGGUAUGGGGUGUGAGAGCACUUGCCCAGAGAUGGUUUCUGAGACACGAAACCAGGCCCUACGGGGCGCAGCAGGCGCGAAAACUUCGCAAUGCGGGAAACCGUGACGAGGGAACUCCAAGUGUCUAUGCAUUGCAUAGACUGUUUUUUAGCCUAAAUAGCUAUUAGAGUAAGGGGUGGGUAAGACCGGUGCCAGCCGCCGCGGUAACACCGGCACCCCGAGUGGUAGCCACUAUUAUUGGGCCUAAAGCGUUCGUAGCCGGUUUGGUAAAUUCUUGGGUAAAUCGUACCGCUUAACGGUGCGGAUUCCGGGGACACUACCAGACUUGAGACCGGGGGAGAUCAGAGGUACUUGCGGGGGAGCGGUGAAAUGUUGUAAUCCCGCAGGGACCACCAGUGGCGAAGGCGUCUGAUCAGAACGGCUCUGACGGUGAGGAACGAAACCCUGGGGCGCAAACGGGAUUAGAUACCCCG
This 735-nucleotide ribosomal RNA is filed under the name uncultured marine group III euryarchaeote. RNAcentral's name for it is "bacterial SSU rRNA". It matches the Rfam family "Archaeal small subunit ribosomal RNA", at positions 1 to 740 of the family's 1478-position model. The record is from RNAcentral. Lineage: Archaea; Methanobacteriati; Thermoplasmatota; Thermoplasmata; Candidatus Thermoprofundales.